UAGAUGUGGUCUCCGACGUUACUUCCUUUAUGUUGAAAACGUCUUGGUAAACUUAAUAUAAUGUGUUCAGAGUAUAAGAAUAGGGGGACCUGUAUCUAUAACAUAUUGAUGAAUUCCAAUGUACUGCUAAGAGCCAUUGAGGCGAUAUGAUCCCUGUUUUGUAGCUGCUGUGCAGUCUAACGGCAGGUGUUCGGGAGUUUCCAACUCCAUGUCACAGAAUCGACAGUUAUUGUCAAUAUCUUUUCUGCUUGCUGAACAGCUCAUUUAUAGUAUGAGGACCAACAAUGUAGAAGUUUCCGGUCCUACCAUUAUGUUGGCAGCUGCAGUGCGGGCAAGCUCGUCAGCCAGUUCGUUCCUGUCUUUACCCUUGUGAUCUAGCAACCAAAUAAAAUGCACUUGGCUACAACCUGGUAGGCUGUUCUGCCGUUCUAUGCACUCCUGCACCAGUAGCGUUUUAAUCUUAUAAGCGGAGAUCGCUUUAAGUGCCGCUUGGCUAUCGCUGAGUAUGACUAUACUUGCGUUGGAGGUUUAUCUCUACACAACGACUUUUUAGCAAAGGCUUCUGCAUAGAAGAUGCUCGUAUAACUUCUCAUACAUAGUCCUGUGACUCCUGCACCAUUUCCCUUCGACUUUUUCAAGCCAUUGAUAUGCUAUCCCCUUAACAGUAGGUUGAGCGUGGUAUCAUUUCAUUCAGCCUGCUGACAAGGGUAACUUUAAACUUCCUAUGUUGGAUCUGUUAUUAUUAUGUUUCGCAAUCAUCAUGCGCCUAAACUGUGUAAUGGAACCCGACUGAUUGAGACGCAGCUAUCGAAUACAAGCUGGCAGUAUGCUUGAUUCUACGAACUCCUUUGAGUUCCAACGCUUUGCCAUUUCAGUUCAAACCUAUACAGUUUCCAGGGAAAAUUGCAUUUGAGAUGACAAUCAACAGGACACAAGGAUAGACGCUAGAAGUGUGUGGCAUAAAUCUGGAAAUGCCAUGUUAUUUGGAAAACCAUCUUCUCUGUACACUUACGCACCGGAACGGAAACCAAAAAAUGUUGUUUAUUAAGCUGCGUUGCAUUGAAAGAAAUUUAGAAAAAUCGGAAAAUAAAUAAUUUUCAACACGAUAUAAAUUCAACUUUCUUUUCAUUUUAAAACACAUAAUUUCACUAAGAACAACGACUGCGGGGCCUGCUAGUAUCGUAAAAUAACGAAUGUUGAUAUCAUAUGUAAUGGUAAAGGGACGACUGUCGUGUAAUAACUUCUUAAUAACUCAUCGUUAAAUAUUAUUACCAGAAAUCAUUUUGGUCUAUAAUAUGUCAGUUUAAUUCAAGAGUUUUUGUUGUUGUUGUUGUAGCGGCAGGAUUUUGCCGAGUUGACAGUCCUUGGCCGGAUAAAAAUCAGGGUGCGUUCCGGUUACGUAGACCCGACUGUCGUGGGAACGUAGACCCCGUUUGGAUCGGUAAGUGUUAAUCAAGAGUAAUAUGAAGCGUUUAAAAUUAGUGUUAAAAAACUCUUAAAUGUGGUAAAUGGAUAAUAUGUAGACCAAAAAUAAUUCAAGUUUUCAAUAUGAUUUAUGAAAAACAUUUCAGACUUGUAUGGGAAAAAAACUUUGUGGUUAAAAGUUAUAUAUGAAUUUAAUCAUGUGCACAUGAUACACAAAUAUUUUGUGGUUACGAUAAAAAUAAAUGAAUGGAAAAAACAAUGCGACCGCAAGUUUAGCUGAGUGCACUCAUGAAGAGCAAAUAAUUAAUAUAAGUACAAAAUAAGCACGAGUUAAGUUUCACUAUAAUUCACAAUACCGUCGUGUCCACACAUAUGUACAUACUAUAGUUUCAGACAUGUUUCAAAAAAUACUAGGCAAUAAAGCAAGGCAAUCCAAUGAGAGUGCAAAGAAUGAUAAAUCGCUGAGGGGCAAACCAAAAGCGAAAUCAUGCAAAUGUGUGCCGCAAAGCUGCAAAUGUAAGAUACGAAAUGCAGUCAAGCUGUUGGCCAAGCAACGUUAUCAAUUUAGAUCGAACGAAAUUCUUGUUUGAAUGUUGAAUUACAAAUAAAAAAUAUUGAAUUUCUAACAUUAA
Molecule: long non-coding RNA, 2057 nt
Organism: Bactrocera dorsalis (oriental fruit fly)
Lineage: Eukaryota; Metazoa; Arthropoda; Insecta; Diptera; Tephritidae
Exons: 2
Source: RefSeq, a predicted model, not a curated record